RNAcentral lists this ribosomal RNA (274 nucleotides) under uncultured bacterium. Its description in RNAcentral is "partial 16S ribosomal RNA". It matches the Rfam family "Bacterial small subunit ribosomal RNA", at positions 523 to 796 of the family's 1533-position model. The record is from RNAcentral.
AUACGGAGGGUCCAAGCGUUAUCCGGAAUCAUUGGGUUUAAAGGGUCCGCAGGCGGUCAAUUAAGUCAGAAGUGAAAGCCCAUCGCUCAACGAUGGAACUGCCUUUGAUACUGGUUGACUUGAGUUAUACGGAAGUAGAUAGAAUAAGUAGUGUAGCGGUGAAAUGCAUAGAUAUUACUUAGAAUACCGAUUGCGAAGGCAGUCUACUACGUAUAUACUGACGCUGAGGGACGAAAGCGUGGGGAGCGAACAGGAUUAGAUACCCUAGUAGUCC